RNAcentral lists this ribosomal RNA (467 nucleotides) under uncultured bacterium. RNAcentral's name for it is "partial 16S ribosomal RNA". It matches the Rfam family "Bacterial small subunit ribosomal RNA", at positions 28 to 507 of the family's 1533-position model. The record is from RNAcentral.
GACGAACGCUGGCGGCGUGCUUAACACAUGCCAGUCGAACGGUGAUGCUCCAGCUUGCUGGAGUGGAUCAGUGGCGAACGGGUGAGUAACACGUGAGCAACCUGCCCAGACUCUGGAAUAAGCGCUGGAAACGGCGUCUAAUACUGGAUACGAAACUGGCCCGCAUGGGCAUGGUUUGGAAAGUUUUUCGGUUUGGGAUGGGCUCGCGGCCUAUCAGCUUGUUGGUGAGGUAAUGGCUCACCAAGGCGACGACGGGUAGCCGGCCUGAGAGGGCGACCGGCCACACUGGGACUGAGACACGGCCCAGACUCCUACGGGAGGCAGCAGUGGGGAAUAUUGCACAAUGGGCGAAAGCCUGAUGCAGCGACGCCGCGUGAGGGAUGACGGCCUUCGGGUUGUAAACCUCUUUCAGCAGGGAAGAAGCGAAAGUGACGGUACCUGCAGAAGAAGCACCGGCUAACUACGUG